Molecule: ribosomal RNA, 599 nt
Filed under: uncultured bacterium
Lineage: Bacteria
Description: bacterial SSU rRNA
Rfam family: Bacterial small subunit ribosomal RNA
Source: RNAcentral
CCGUAAGCUCUCAGGGUCGCAUGGCCUUGUGAGGAAAGGUAGCUUCGGCCAUCCGGCGAGGGAUGGGCCCGCGGUGCAUUAGCUAGUUGGUGGGGUAAAGGCCCACCAAGGCGACGAUGCGUAGCUGGUCUGAGAGGAUGAUCAGCCACACUGGGACUGAGACACGGCCCAGACUCCUACGGGAGGCAGCAGCCAGGAAUCUUGGGCAAUGGGCGCAAGCCUGACCCAGCAACACCGUGUGGGCGAUGAAGGCCUUCGGGUCGUAAAGCCCUGUUGAUAGGGACGAAGGGCGAAGGGUUAAUAGCCCCUAGCCUGACGGUACCUUUCGAGGAAGCCCCGGCUAACUACGUGCCAGCAGCCGCGGUAAUACGUAGGGGGCGAGCGUUGUCCGGAAUUAUUGGGCGUAAAGAGCGUGUAGGCGGUUCGGUAAGUCUGUCGUGAAAUCCUGGGGCUCAACCCCGGGCGUGCGAUGGAUACUGCCGGGCUAGAGGAUGGUAGAGGCGAGUGGAAUUCCCGGUGUAGCGGUGAAAUGCGCAGAUAUCGGGAGGAACACCAGUAGCGAAGGCGGCUCGCUGGGCCAUUCCUGACGCUGAGACGCG